This 610-nucleotide unclassified non-coding RNA is filed under the name Hevea brasiliensis (rubber tree). Lineage: Eukaryota; Viridiplantae; Streptophyta; Magnoliopsida; Malpighiales; Euphorbiaceae. The record is from RNAcentral.
CAAGAAAAAGAGGGAAAUUGCAUUGGGUAAUUACUAACUCACAUAUUCUUCUUGCCAUCAGAUUGUUAACAAGUCUGCUCUAUGGACUCCAAUGGGCUCCACAGGCUUUGAUUGUCAUCAUACUCUAGAAGGUAAAAACUUCAGAUUACUUUCGUUUGGCAUCCAGUUCAGCUUUCGCAGCAUUUGCCUCCUUCGUUUUUGCCUCGCAUUGAGAUUCUAGAUUCUUGAUCUUAGUCUUCAAGUUAACAAUCUCUUCCCCCAGUGAUUUUAUCUCCCCCGAACUACCAUUUUUCCCAUCAUCAAGGCUUCGGCUUUGUUUCUUAACGGCCUCCAUUGUCUUCCUGAGCAAACGUAGUUCUCUAAUGUAAUGGUGCAAUCUAUCUAUCAUCAGUGAGAGGAAUAGCAAGAAUCCCAUGAGAGACGCUUCAAGCAUGUGCUGGGACAUGAGGACCUGGUCCGUAGGAUUGGGAGCACCGGCCUCGAUCGUACGGUUCUGGAUCUCGACCAUACUGUAAACACUAGACAAAAGCACAAUGAAGACAGUGCGAAGACAGUACCGGCGAUGGUCUUGACCAUAAUGGGGCCUCUCCCACGCUUGACCCGAUCCAAA